CCAGGUACGAUGCGGAAACCUUGGAGAGCUACUGCCAAUCAGCAUUCAUAAUGCUGAAGUAGAUAGCCAAUUGCCUGACUUCUCAGUAAAAGGCACUUUCCUAUGUUCCUGCGUUCCUAAUCUGUCAAGUGCAGAAGUGUUCAUGUAAGCAAUAACUCACUAUAUGAUGAUAUAGGUUUGUGUGCGCAUGCAUGUAGCAUCAAAAAACAUAGCCCUUCCAGUGCUAGGUCACCUCAACUCCUAUAAUUUGGUGUUAUCAGAUCCCAGCAAAAAGGCACAUUCAGGACAAGGUAGCCUCCCACAUUCAGUACCUGUGGCAACCAUAUCAUGCCGUGUACAAAAGGUAAUGUUGACUAUAGCACUAAUUGGGUAAGUCCCUAGUAGUAGUUGCUGAACAGUCAAACAAAAGCAGUUGUAUUUCUACCCUUCUUGCUGGAACAACAGGAGGAACAGGGCACAUAAAUAAAAGUGUCAGGAGACAAGACCUGUUCUGUGUUAGGAGACACAUCAAAUAAAAAAGGAGUGACUAUGUACUCAGAGGCCUGGUUCACAUGCCACACUAAACCAUAGUUAAAAUAAACCACAAUUUAAUGUGAACCAGCAGUGCUUAAUUCUUCCCUUGCUCCUGCUAGGAAACAAACCAUGGGAUGGCUUGCCUUGUUGUCCAAACCUGGACUUAUGCUUUGUUUCUCUCUGAACAAACCACAAGUGGAAGCCAAGGUUUGUUCUUAGUUUGCCACUCAUUGUUUGUUUGAGGGAAAUAAAUCAUGAGACCAAGCUCAGGUGGCGUGACAAGUCAGAUCAUGGUUUGUUCCUUGGCAGUGCAGCAGAAGUGGGGGAGGAGUAAAGUGUCAUUCAUAUUAAACCACAGCAAAUUUGACUAUAAUUUAAUACGUCAUAUGAAGCAGAUCAGUGUGCCUUUUCUUCACCUCUGAGUAAUCACAAGCAGACCUGAAAGAGCUGGUAUGUUCUAGGAUAAAGGAUUCCAGGGUAAGGGAACAUGACUCCUUAAGGAAAGAAAAAGAAGAAGAAGAAGAAGAAGAAGAAGAAGAAGAAGAAGAAGAAGGAGUAGGAGUAGUAGUAGUAGUAGUAGUAGUAGUAGUAGUAGUAGUUUGGAUUUGAUAUCCCGCUUUAUCACUACCUGAAGGAGUCUCAAAGCGGCUGAUAUUCUCCUUUCCCUUCCUCACCCACAACAAACACUUUGUGAGGUGAGUGGGGCUGAGAGACUUCAGACAAGUGUGACUAGCCCAAGGUCACCCAGCAGCUGCAUGUGGAGGAGCGGAGACGCGAACCCGGUUCACCAGAUUACGAGUCUACCGCUCUUAACCACUAUACCACACUGCAAGUGUCAUCAUGUCAGUGCUUCAAUAAUGUUACAUCAACCUCACAGACAAUUAACAGUACAAAUGUUUAGGAUCAGGAUAUCAAUCUUCACUUUUCUGAAUGGGAAAAGGAACAACAAAUAGUUAUGGACUAAACUUGCUUAAAACUGCUCUGCAAUGGCAAACAUCUGAAGGGAGGGGGAGACACUGAAUUGUGCUUUCCAUAUUCUACUCCGUGGCAAAUCUCCUCAGUGGCGGGGUGGGGUGGGGAAUAGGUUUCAAAAACAUUUUAGACUUGUAUCAUACAUUGAAAAUCAAUAGUUACUUGGUAGGCACCUAAGGGGUUCUGAAAAACCUACACGUCAGACAACUUCCUUUUGUGAGUCAGAUGAUAACUGACCUUCCAUCAGCACUUCCAAGAUACAUAAAGAGAGCCUGAGAAUAAGUUUGCUUCUUAUCAUUUUCUAAAGCCAUGUAUGAAUGCAUUUAAUUUACUGUGCUAGCACUAUCGCUUCCUACUCCUACACAGAAGGUGGCGGUUAUAGUAGCUCUGUGAUAGGAUGAUGACCCUAUCAAGAGGGAGGUGGGGAGAAGGAAUCUGGUCUUCUCAGCAGAACAGAAAAGCAAAAACAUUUCCCUUGUCUAUUUUAUGUUGUAGAUGGAGGAACUUUCUGCUAUUCGCGUCAGUCUUUGUCUGCCUAUGCUGCAUAAUGGUUUAGGCUAAAGUGGCCUAAAGUCAGCCAAGCCUACAUGUUUCUUCCAGAUUCUGUAUCUUAAAACUAGGUAAUUUCACAUUGACAUUACUAUGUAUGUCAUGUGUUGUUUUUAUAUAAAAAAAGUGUGGGGAAAUUACCCAUCUUUUUCCUUCUUCUGUCUUCAGUUCCAGCACACGAAGGCAGGACAGAUGGAAGUAUUUCGAAGGAAAAGAAAGAAGAACAUUAAAGCAUACAAACAUAUUAACUUGCAGUUGAUAAUAUACUCUGCAUCUUUCCACUUUGUUAUUUGCCAGGGCAAGUGAUUUCCAUCAUUAAAAUUCCUUUCUUCACAAAA
Podarcis lilfordi (Lilford's wall lizard) is the source of this 2372-nucleotide non-coding RNA. Lineage: Eukaryota; Metazoa; Chordata; Lepidosauria; Squamata; Lacertidae. The record is from the annotation of a GenBank genome assembly.